This 77-nucleotide transfer RNA is filed under the name Phenylobacterium haematophilum. RNAcentral describes it as "tRNA-His". It matches the Rfam family "tRNA". From Rfam's summary of the family: Transfer RNA (tRNA) molecules are approximately 80 nucleotides in length. Their secondary structure includes four short double-helical elements and three loops (D, anti-codon, and T loops). The record is from RNAcentral. Lineage: Bacteria; Pseudomonadati; Pseudomonadota; Alphaproteobacteria; Caulobacterales; Caulobacteraceae. RNAcentral also lists the same sequence under 10 other names.
GCCGCCUUAGCUCAGUUGGUUAGAGCGCUAGAUUGUGGCUCUAGAGGUCCCCCGUUCGAACCGGGGAGGCGGUACCA